CGGAUCCAGAUCGGGAAGUGUUGUUUUGGGGGAUGCCAGCAAGGGCUAGUUGUCCAUCUUGCUUGUUAAGAUGUAAGACCUAAGGUCUGUGUCGGGAUCCAGGUCCAGUUGAUGCCCCCAUCGAGGCAUGCACCAACCAUCUUGAUUCCUUCGGUUAGGGUUCUGGUUACAAUUCCUAUGGUUUCUAGGGGCUCCCUAUUUGUAUGACAUUUCGUUUUCCCCUAACUGGCGAUCCAUGGGCAUCUCCGUACACUUUUGAAGGUACUGUGGAGGAGAUCUUAUUCUCAUUUCUUUCUAUAGGACUAUACACCCACCCACCGUGUAAGGAUCCUAGGUAAACCUUCCUACCAGUUGUAAGGUAUAUUUCUUCUCUUCUGCUACUUUGCCUUUAGACUGGGAUUACCUUGUCAGUUAGUUCUAGGAUAUCCUAUGCGUAGAUUCCAGGGGGUUAGAGAUCGGCUCCGUUUUACAAUAGGAAAUUGACCCCGUACAACUAGGCAUUCUCAAAUAGACAGCCAGUACAUGAAAGUCAGACAGAUAGGAAAGGGUAUACCUAACCCCUGAUAACUUCUAUGUGGUUCUACAGUUGCUCAUACUCUCUGACAAAACUUGAUGAGCCGUAGCGGUUUCACUCUAAGACUAACCCUACCAACGAGGUAUCUUUAUACCCUUUAGACUACUUAAUAGUCAGGUGCGCCCCAUUGAAAGGUUUCGAAUUUCUAUCCAUUUAUAUCAUGAGUUUUCAAGGAUUGGUCUCUUGUGGUUGGGGAUGUCAAAUAAUUCCUACCUUCCUGUGAUGCAUGUCAACGAACUGGCAAAGAAAGAAAGAAAGGAUAUCGAAGGCUGAAAGGAGUGGCGCUGGGAAAUGAACUAUCACUUAUGCCCUAGAAGCCAUCUGCAAUGUUAACGGAAUAUGGUAUAGGUCAAUUGGGUCUAAAAGGAAUAAUCCUAAAGGUCCGCUACGCUUCUUUUUGGAAGUAAACUCUCCCAUCUUUAGUGCGCUCUUAGGUUCUGUUCUCUCUUGAAGUGUGUUUUGCUUUCGCUAAUGAGAGUUGGUAGUUGGCUUACUUUCUUGUUAGAGGACAGGUAGUUGACUACUUGCUGUUGUUAGGCGGUGAACCAACCGGGUGAUUGUUGGGGAGAGAAUGAGCCCCAACACCAACCACCCACGGGGGAGGAACUUCAGAAGCAGAUGUUAGACUUCGCCGCCUACUUCCGCUCAAACAGAACCAAGCCCCCGCGACACAUGGUAGAGAGCCUUAUCGAGGAGCUUCAAGUAGAUUCAGCUUCGGACGAAACCAAAGGAACGAGAUUUCCCUACUUAUCUCGGGUAUCUUGAACGAUCCGCACGCAGUGACAGAUGGUCAACGGGCGAAUGGCAUUUCUAUAGUAAACAGACUCAGUGUUCAAGGGCUCCGUAGGGAAUCUUAGUCGGUUUGUGAGCGCCUUCCGGUAUAGCUAGUCUUCUGUCCGUCCCGAUUGCCGCUAGUCAGUAGCUCGCUUCCGGAUAAACUACUAAAAACAGUGCGCAAGCAAACACAUAAUCGAAAAUAGAAGGAUCAGUGCCCGUAGCUGAGUUAGGUUUAGAUGGUCGUGAUAAGCUCUACUAUAAAGAAAGCCAAUGAGUUUUAUGAAUAGAGGGAGUGCUGCUCUCUAAGGGGCUUUUCCGGCCAGCCGUUGAAUUCCAUUCCUCGAUGCAAUCCUUAAUUAUCUCUUCUCUGGGGCGAGAGACAUGAACAAAGCUUGGCGCGGAAUAAAUACAGGUAUAGAAAGGAUCGAACAUAAAUAAAGAUAAGAAAGGAUCUUUCAUAAGAGAUGAAAGGAUCGAACAUAAAUAAAGAUAAGAAAGGAUCGAACAUAAAUAAAGAUAAGAAAGGAUCGAACAUAAGAGAUGAAAGGUGCUAAGAGCCUACUAGAAUGGAAAAAGAAAAGUAGACCAUAGGAGUCAAAGAGAAGAAAUAGCUGCUGCACGUUCGUUCAUACUCAUGCUCGGCAAGAACGACCCUCAUCAAAAAGCGGUAUAUGUCCUAUGCAGCAGAUUAUAUCUUAUACUAUAGCUAGAACUCUUUGUAAUUACACUCAUCCAGCUUUUCCAUAAGAGAUGAAGCUUUGUUCUGCCGACUCCUUUCCAACUCAAUGAUCUGUUCCUGGAAAGAUUAGUGGGCGGUCUUCAGAUCCUUGCGUACAGCGUGGCAUGCAUCAAGGAAGUGCAUCUUUUCCUUAAGGGCUUAUAAAGUUAUUUCGCUUUAGCUACUACCUCAGCCACGAUUACGUUCUUCUUCUCCAAGAUCAUAUAGGGAUAGAACUUAUUCCGCUUUCCCCAAAACUAAAGACUUCCAAUGCAAUGAAAAAAGCACGACUCCGCUUAGAGAAUGGCGACAAAGCCCUGUGACUCAAAAAAGCCCUCUAUCGGCAACUGUAGACAUAUCCGAAAGUUCUACUAGAGCACACUCUCGGAGGCGGCGAAUCAAAGAAUGACCCAUCUAAUUCGAAAAUAUAGAAAGACUGGAAACAAGCAUAUAACCCAGCACUCACGAUUUGCUAGCCACGGCAUCACCAGUAAAAGAACCCUGAUUGCCUUAUUCCAGUAUUAAGGGAAAAGAAAACCAAACAUAAAGUAUAGAGUAACUACGAAGACCAAAAGCCCGGCAUUUCCGUCUUAGAUGCCCCCCGUCGAAGGCAAGGCAGAUCUUUUGAAUUCAAAGAAGAGCCUUAAGAUCAGACAAGAAAGAAGCCAAAAUAAUUCCUAGUAAGUUGCGGAAAAGAGAGAGCAGAGGAUUUGCGACCUGUUAAUGUACGAGGUAGGCUUGAACAGCGUAGGCUCUUUGCAAGAAGGGUAAGGCAAGCGCAAGGAUUGGCUGACAGAGUUCAGGCGAAUGAAGAAAAGCUAUACUAUAACGGACUUGUAGCUUCUAGUGCUCGAGUGGCUUGCAGCUUCGGGUGCGAAUACGGAUACCGCUUACUUUAGAGCUCGUGCUGUUGCGAGUAAGUAGUCUCUCUGCUCAUAGUCGUCCCGUUCAUAGACGCUAGAGCUACUACGAUAAGGCUAGCUCCUCGUAGAGUGGCAUUAGCUCCUCUUCAACCAGUCGAGUUCGAGUGCGCUGGUAUACGAUGGUAUAGGGUGCUUCUCUGAUCUUCUUCUUCCCACGAUAAACGAAAGAAUUCCUUGUAGGGCAAAUACAGGACUUGUAAUAA
RNAcentral lists this long non-coding RNA (3195 nucleotides) under Musa acuminata (dwarf banana). Its description in RNAcentral is "long non-coding RNA (MACU_LNC007519)". Lineage: Eukaryota; Viridiplantae; Streptophyta; Magnoliopsida; Zingiberales; Musaceae. The record is from RNAcentral.